UUGGUCAUUUAGAGGAAGUAAAAGUCGUAACAAGGUCUCCGUAGGUGAACCUGCGGAGGGAUCAUUACACAAAUAUGAAGGCGGGCUGGAACCUCUCGGGGUUACAGCCUUGCUGAAUUAUUCACCCUUGUCUUUUGCGUACUUCUUGUUUCCUUGGUGGGUUCGCCCACCACUAGGACAAACAUAAACCUUUUGUAAUUGCAAUCAGCGUCAGUAACAAAUUAAUAAUUACAACUUUCAACAACGGAUCUCUUGGUUCUGGCAUCGAUGAAGAACGCAGCGAAAUGCGAUAAGUAGUGUGAAUUGCAGAAUUCAGUGAAUCAUCGAAUCUUUGAACGCACAUUGCGCCCUUUGGUAUUCCAAAGGGCAUGCCUGUUCGAGCGUCAUUUGUACCCUCAAGCUUUGCUUGGUGUUGGGCGUUGUUUGUCUUUGGCCUUGCCCAAAGACUCGCCUUAAAACAAUUGGCAGCCGGCAUAAGCCUGGGAGCGCAGCACAAUUGUUGCUUCCAUUCUUUGUAUGUCGAGCGUCCAGCAAGCCUUUUAUUCUUGCGUUUGACCUCGGAUCAGGUAGGGAUACCCGCUGAACUUAAGCAUAUCAAUAAG
RNAcentral lists this ribosomal RNA (602 nucleotides) under uncultured fungus. RNAcentral describes it as "eukaryotic LSU rRNA". The stretch from base 233 to 386 matches the Rfam family "5.8S ribosomal RNA". Lineage: Eukaryota; Fungi. The record is from RNAcentral.